CACCGGAGAUUCAAGGAUUUCUCAAUCAUGGAUGAAAGCAUCAAGGAACUUUUCUACAGCUUUCUUUACCAGAAGGCAUGAUUCCUGCAGAAAAAAUCAGAUAUACACCAUAAUCCAUCAAUGGCAGGUCGCCUCGGCCCCCCCACCAAGGGAGGAAAGGAGAGGCAGAGGGAGAAGUGUGAUCGGACGCAGAACAGAUGGACAAUGUUUCAUUUGACAUUGUCCUUCGGCAAAUGAAAACUUUAAGGUUGAAAUUUUCCAAUCAGGAUUUUUGUUUAAGAUUAUUUUGAAACAAGUUCUUUGAUAUAGAUGUGUGUAUUUAGUGGAAUAUUUUCAGGAAAGAUAGUUUUAUUCCCACCUUGAAAAUGAAUUUUAUUCAUUGUGAGGGAACAAGAAUGCCCAAGAAGAGAUUUAGAUUGCUUCUUCUUUCGGUGAAAGCUCUCAUCGGUGCCUGCUGUAGAUUAGAUUCCUGAAUGUGGAGAGGUAGAUGCUAUAGAGAAAAUGUGGAUUUAAUUUUUUAAAAAUCUGUGACUUCACUUACCUUAAAACUAUUUCACUGCUGUAUGGUUCUUAUAACUUUUUCUUUUACCAAAUCAAAACUCUCUGUUGAUUUGCCUGUAUGUCUUUUGCAUAAAGUUAAAUCUCAAUAUAGAAAGCUUUAGCAACCUUUCUGCUAGAUUCUACUUGACAUUUUUGUGGCUUCAGCAGAGCUGACUCAGUAAUGGCUCUUUGUUAGAAUGCCUUUUUACUGUGAAAUGAAAAGUGCUCUUAAGAUGGUCAAGGGUGUAUUUUCCAGUUCUUUGAGGCCCCGUAGCCCUAGGGCGUCCCUUGAAGCAACUCCCCGUCUGAGUCACAGGAGCCAGUACAUCUGAAGGAUAGCGGGCCAGGUGACAUCAUGGUGUUUCUGUGUUCUCUGAAGCAAAAUGUCACAUUGACAAACUUUUCUGAAACUUCCUAACA
Molecule: long non-coding RNA, 960 nt
Organism: Gambusia affinis (western mosquitofish)
Lineage: Eukaryota; Metazoa; Chordata; Actinopteri; Cyprinodontiformes; Poeciliidae
Exons: 3
Source: RefSeq, a predicted model, not a curated record